GGGGGCAUGGCUCAGUGAUAGAACGCGUGCUCAGCGCGCACCAGGUCGUGGGUUCAAUUCCCAGUGCCUCCA
This 72-nucleotide transfer RNA is filed under the name Camelus ferus (Wild Bactrian camel). It matches the Rfam family "tRNA". Rfam says of the family: Transfer RNA (tRNA) molecules are approximately 80 nucleotides in length. Their secondary structure includes four short double-helical elements and three loops (D, anti-codon, and T loops). Further hydrogen bonds mediate the characteristic L-shaped molecular structure. tRNAs have two regions of fundamental functional importance: the anti-codon, which is responsible for specific mRNA codon recognition, and the 3' end, to which the tRNAs corresponding amino acid is attached (by aminoacyl-tRNA synthetases). tRNAs cope with the degeneracy of the genetic code in two manners: having more than one tRNA (with a specific anti-codon) for a particular amino acid; and 'wobble' base-pairing, i.e. permitting non-standard base-pairing at the 3rd anti-codon position. The record is from Rfam by way of RNAcentral. Lineage: Eukaryota; Metazoa; Chordata; Mammalia; Artiodactyla; Camelidae.